RNAcentral lists this ribosomal RNA (497 nucleotides) under uncultured bacterium. Its description in RNAcentral is "partial 16S ribosomal RNA". It matches the Rfam family "Bacterial small subunit ribosomal RNA", at positions 28 to 507 of the family's 1533-position model. The record is from RNAcentral.
GAUGAACGCUGGCGGCGUGCCUAAUACAUGCAAGUCGAGCGAACAGACGAGGAGCUUGCUCCUCUGACGUUAGCGGCGGACGGGUGAGUAACACGUGGAUAACCUACCUAUAAGACUGGGAUAACUUCGGGAAACCGGAGCUAAUACCGGAUAAUAUAUUGAACCGCAUGGUUCAAUAGUGAAAGACGGUUUUGCUGUCACUUAUAGAUGGAUCCGCGCCGCAUUAGCUAGUUGGUAAGGUAACGGCUUACCAAGGCAACGAUGCGUAGCCGACCUGAGAGGGUGAUCGGCCACACUGGAACUGAGACACGGUCCAGACUCCUACGGGAGGCAGCAGAAGGGAAUCUUCCGCAAUGGGCGAAAGCUUGACGGAGCAACGCCGCGUGAGUGAUGAAGGUCUUCGGAUCGUAAAACUCUGUUAUUAGGGAAGAACAAAUGUGUAAGUAACUAUGCACGUCUUGACGGUACCUAAUCAGAAAGCCACGGCUAACUACGUG